Molecule: ribosomal RNA, 116 nt
Filed under: uncultured bacterium
Lineage: Bacteria
Description: partial 16S ribosomal RNA
Source: RNAcentral
CACUUUCUUCCCUUCUGACAGAAUUUUACAACCCGAAGGCCUUCUUCAUCCACCCGGCGUUCCUGCUUCAGGGUUGCCCCCUUUGCCCAAAAUCCCUCACGGCUGCCUCCCGUAGG